ACCCCACUGCUAUCGGGAUAGGACUAAGACAUGCUAGUUGAGCGCUUCCAGCCAAAACGGGAGCGCAGCGCACAGCUCAGUAACACGUGGCUAAUCUGCCCUUGGGACCGGAACACCCCCGGGAAACUGGGGCUAAUUCUCGAUAGGUGAAGAACGCUGGAAUGAGUCUUUGCCAAAAAGACGUUUACGUUAUGCUCGUAGACGUCGCCCAAGGAUGAGGCCGCGACCGAUCAGGUUGUUGGUGAGGUAAUGGCUCACCAAGCCUUUUACCGGUGCGGGCCGUGAGAGCGGGAGCCCGGAGAUGGGCACUGAGACAAGGGCCCAGGCCCUACGGGGCGCAGCAGUCGCGAAAACUUUGCAAUACACGAAAGUGUGACAGGGCUAUCCCGAGUGCCAUCCGCUGAGGAAGGCUUUUACCCAGUCUAGAACGCUGGGGGAAUAAGGAGAGGGCAAGUCUGGUGUCAGCCGCCGCGGUAAUACCAGCUCUCCGAGUGGUGUGGAUGUUUAUUGGGCCUAAAGCAUCCGUAGCUGGCUGGGUUAGUCCCUUGUUAAAUCCACCGAAUUAAUCGUUGGAUUGCGGGGGAUACUGCUCGGCUAGGGGACGAGAGAGGCAGACGGUAUUUCUGGGGUAGGGGUGAAAUCCUAUAAUCCCAGGAGGACCACCAGUGGCGAAGGCUGUCUGCUAGAACGCGCCCGACGGUGAGGGAUGAAAGCUGGGGGAGCGAACCGGACUAGAUACCCGGGUAGUCCCAGCUGUAAACGAUGCAGACUAGGUGUUUGGACGGCCACGUGCCGUUCUAGUGCCGCAGGAAGCUGUUAAGUCUGCCGCCUGGGGAGUACGAUCGCAAGAUUGAAACUUAAAGGAAUUGGCGGGGGAGCACCACAAGGGGUGAAGCUUGC
RNAcentral lists this ribosomal RNA (900 nucleotides) under uncultured archaeon. Its description in RNAcentral is "bacterial SSU rRNA". It matches the Rfam family "Archaeal small subunit ribosomal RNA", at positions 21 to 898 of the family's 1478-position model. The record is from RNAcentral.